ACACAAACACAGACUCUGGUGAACCCCAGGAGGUAUAGACUUUUACCACCAACACAGACUCUGGUGAACCCCAGGAGGUAUAGACUUUUACCACCAACACAGACUCUGGUGAACCCCAGGAGGUAUAGACUUUUACCACCAACACAGACUCUGGUGAACCCCAGGAGGUAUAGACUUUUACCACCAACACAGACUCUGGUGAACCCCAGGAGGUAUAGACUUUUACCACCAACACAGACUCUGGUGAACCCCAGGAGGUAUAGACUUUUACCACCAACACAGACUCUGGUGAACCCCAGGAGGUAUAGACUUUUACCACCAACACAGACUCUGGUGAACCCCAGGAGGUAUAGACUUUUACCACCAACACAGACUCUGGUGAACCCCAGGAGGUAUAGACUUUUACCACCAACACAGACUCUGGUGAACCCCAGGAGGUAUAGACUUUUACCACCAACCCUGACUCUGGGUUAACCCUUUACUGUAUCAGCCCUGAGUUGGCUAGCCAAGUGCUGGGUUUACCCUCAACUUGGCCUUUGGUUGCAGUUAGUGUUUGGUUAGCUGGAUUAGUUAGUACUGCGUUAACUCUCUCUAGCCCUCAUGUUGUAUCGGCCUUCAUUUUAAACUCAUUUUUUUGUUUCCCACAAAAACAACUUCUGUGAGUCCUCAAAACAAGGCUUCAGUAAAAAGCCCAUUAGAAACAGCAGAUUUUAUAAAUCAGCCUGGUUUCAGUGGGAUGGGAUCGGCUGCUGUUAAAUUGGUAAGUAUGCAAUGUGCCCUACGCACGGAGAGAGAGACGCAUUGAAGAGCUGGGUUACUGUGGUGGAGGGGAAGGAUGAUUUGAUACCAAUGUGUCCUGCCCUUGUUAUUGCUCUAUGUUGGUUAACAGAGAAGGAGAGAGAGAGGGAGAAAAAGAGAGAAGGAGAAUGUUGACUGUGUACUUUGUGAGAAUCAGAGAGUUUUUCAGACAGACGUCUUUCUGUUGUGUCUGCAGAUACACAGUCACCUCAGAGGCCAGGAGAGAUGUUGCUGGGUUCUGGUCUAGUGGCUGGCCUUAAGACAGGUGUGUGUGUGUGUGUGUGUGUGUGUGUGUGUGUGUGUGUGUGUGUGUGUGUGUGUGUGUGUGUGUGUGUGUGUGUGUGUGUGUGUGUGUGUGUGUGUGUGUGUGUGUGUGUGUGUGUGUGUGUGUGUACUGUAUGUACAUAUAAGUAUAUGAUAUGCAUGCACGUGAAUAUAUGGGUAGAUACUCUCCGGUCUAAAACAAACCUUUAACAGUAGAGCAGAGUUAGCCACCAGUCUCCACUUGAAUUUAUACUCUUGUUUAUUCUCUUUCUGAGAUGACCACAGACUGACUACUGCUUAUCCUGCUGCAUCCCACAGAACAGACAGGGGAGAGUGGGAGGGGGUGAAGAGAGAGGGGAGGUAGAGGAGAGAGAGUGUGUGAGGUAGAGACAGAGAGAGACAUAGAGAGGAGAGGUGGUGAAGGAAAGACACGAGACAGAGUAACAUCCACUAUGUCUGGCUCUUGGGCCGUUAGUGGUCAGUGUGGUUGAGAUAACUCCAGGUCUCCACAGCCAGCCCAGCCCAGGGGUUAUGGUUGAUCUGUAUAGACUAGACAAAGGGGGGCAAGGUAUACUCUUUGCACUACGAUUUUUGGGUUCUUAGAGGGUUCUUCAAAGGGUUCUACUAUGGGGACAGCCGAAGAGGUUAGGGUUCUAUAUAGCACCUUAUUUUCUAUGAUUGUAGAGGUAAGGAGACAGAGUGGCAGAGAGAGAAAAAGAAAGAGAGAAAGGGAAUGAGAGAGAGGUGCAGAGCAGUUUGUAGUCAGGGGGCGUUCCAGGGCAGCCAGCUCCGCAGGGCUGCAAUUAUAGACAUUUUCUUCCAAAGAGGAGCACCACUUCUUCCAUAACUGCUUAUCUGACGCUCUCACACAGUGCACUCUAUCUCAUAUACACAGAGAGCCUUCUUCUAAUGUAUCUCCAGAACAUUGUGUGGUAACAGAAAAGGCCUCUUUAUCUGUGAUGUCUUCUCUUUGACCUAGAACAUUUCCACCUCGUUUUAAAGUUACGUCAUGCUGGGGUACUAGUAGGGGGUUGUGGGAGUGUACCGGAUACUGUAUGAGUGGUGGGUUGUGUGAGCGUAUGGGUACGAAUGUGAGUGUGUGGGUACGUGUGGUGGGUUGUGUGAGUGUGGGUACGAAUGUGAGUGUGUGGGUACGUGUGGUGGGUUGUGUAAACGUGUGGGUACGAAUGUGAGUGUGGUGGGGCUGUGUGAGUGUGUGGGUACGUGUGGUGGGUUGUGUAAGU
Oncorhynchus keta (chum salmon) is the source of this 2306-nucleotide long non-coding RNA. RefSeq lists it as uncharacterized. The transcript is spliced from 4 exons. NCBI's taxonomy places the organism in Eukaryota, Metazoa, Chordata, Actinopteri, Salmoniformes, Salmonidae. The record is from RefSeq and is a predicted model, not a curated record.